Molecule: RNase P RNA, 291 nt
Filed under: Harpegnathos saltator (Jerdon's jumping ant)
Lineage: Eukaryota; Metazoa; Arthropoda; Insecta; Hymenoptera; Formicidae
Description: Nuclear RNase P
Rfam family: Nuclear RNase P
About the family: Ribonuclease P (RNase P) is a ubiquitous endoribonuclease, found in archaea, bacteria and eukarya as well as chloroplasts and mitochondria.
Source: Rfam by way of RNAcentral
GCAGUGUCAAUCUAGCGGAAGGGGUGUACGAACAGGGCACAUGUUGUCAAUGUAUUCACCUCGGGAAGGUCUGAGAUAAGGUCAUUGAACGUUCUAGACGGACGGUACCGUAAUGGUACGUACGGGAACCAGAAAUAGCUUUACGUUCUUCAAAAUGCCGGGGACGCUUUCUCGAAAAGCAGAGGCGACUGGAAACGGAAAGAUGGAAACUCGUACGGCCCGCUUUUUUAGUACAAUCCGCAAGCCUGGUAGUUCAUACCUGGAACUCAAUUCAGACUAAUCUGAUGCUGC